CCUACGGGAGGCAGCAGUGGGGAAUAUUGGGCAAUGGAGGCAACUCUUACCCAGCAAUGCCGCGUGAAUGAAGAAGGUCUUCGGAUUGUAAAGCUCUAUCGGCAGGGAAGAAGCAAGACGGUACCUGACUAAGAAGCCCCGGCUAACUACGUGCCAGCAGCCGAGGUAAUACGUAGGGGGCGAGCGUUAUCCGGAUUCACUGGGUGUAACGGGAGCGUAGACGGCCAUGCAAGCCAGGGGUGAAAGCCCGGGGCCCACCCCCGGGACUGCCCUUGGAACUGCAUGGCUGGAGUGCGGGAGGGGCAGGCGGAAUUCCUGGUGUAGCGGUGAAAUGCGUAGAUAUCAGGAGGAACACCGGCGGCGAAGGCGGCCUGCUGGACCGCGACUGACGUUGAGGCUCGAAAGCGUGGGGAGCGAACAGGAUUAGAUACCCUGUAGUC
RNAcentral lists this ribosomal RNA (440 nucleotides) under uncultured bacterium. Its description in RNAcentral is "partial 16S ribosomal RNA". It matches the Rfam family "Bacterial small subunit ribosomal RNA", at positions 338 to 795 of the family's 1533-position model. The record is from RNAcentral.